UACGGGGGGGGCAAGCGUUGUUCGGAAUUACUGGGCGUAAAGGGUGUGUAGGUGGCGCCGUAAGUCGGGUGUGAAAUUUCGGAGCUUAACUCCGAAACUGCAUUCGAUACUGCGGUGCUUGAGGACUGGAGAGGAGACUGGAAUUCAUGGUGUAGCAGUGAAAUGCGUAGAGAUCAUGAGGAAGACCAGUGGCGAAGGCGGGUCUCUGGACAGUUCCUGACACUGAGACACGAAGGCCAGGGGAGCAAACGGG
Molecule: ribosomal RNA, 253 nt
Filed under: uncultured bacterium
Lineage: Bacteria
Description: partial 16S ribosomal RNA
Rfam family: Bacterial small subunit ribosomal RNA
Source: RNAcentral